Uloborus diversus is the source of this 780-nucleotide long non-coding RNA. RefSeq lists it as uncharacterized. The record is from RefSeq and is a predicted model, not a curated record. NCBI's taxonomy places the organism in Eukaryota, Metazoa, Arthropoda, Arachnida, Araneae, Uloboridae. The transcript is spliced from 3 exons.
CCGGAAAUGGAAAAGCGAGGGUGAUGAUAGCAAACAUGGCGGCCUCUAUUGGAAAGACAUCCUAAGAAUUUGUGGACAGUUGAUGGCAUUGGGAAAAACUCAUCAAUGAUGCAUUUGCAAACUUUAAGAGGUGCUUUGUGGAAAUAAAUCCAAUGCCUGGGUCCAAGACAUAAAAGAUGAUUUUUAUUAUUUGUAAAUGUUGCGAUUUGUAAUACAUUUGUUAUGUUGUAUAUAUGUAUUUGUGAAUUAUUUUGUAUUGCUCAAAUUCUAAAAUAAACAAGAUCUCCACGUAAGGUUUCUUAUUUUUUCUGUGUUUAAAAUAUUUUCAAUAAUAGAGAGCUUGGAUUAAACUGUCAUUUGGGAGGUAAAACUCAGUACCAGCAAAUUUUACAUUAUUGUCAUCUACUGUACUUAAGUUUUUUUUUUUUUUUUUUGUACAAGCUUGCUUAUUUGGUUGGAACUCGAAAAAUAGAGCUCGAGUAAAAUGUAAAAUUUCAGCAUUUCCCUAAUGCUGGUAUGGAAUUCAAAAAUUAUUUUUUCACAUAGCUCAAAAAAUCAUUUCUGCAGGUAUACCUUCCCAUAGUAGUACAUUCAAAUGCAUAUGCAAUUGCAGAUUCUUGCUUCUUUUUUUUUUUUUUUUUUCAUGUUAGUGCACUUGAAUGCAUAAAUGUUUAUUGCUGGGUUUUUUACUUGAUUUUAGGUCCUUUUUUAUCUUUGAAAAAAAAUUUAAGAAGUAAUUUUUGUUUCGCCAUGUCUCAUAGAAAAAUUUAAGAAGUAAUU